RNAcentral lists this ribosomal RNA (497 nucleotides) under uncultured bacterium. Its description in RNAcentral is "partial 16S ribosomal RNA". It matches the Rfam family "Bacterial small subunit ribosomal RNA", at positions 28 to 507 of the family's 1533-position model. The record is from RNAcentral.
GAUGAACGCUGGCGGCGUGCCUAAUACAUGCAAGUCGAGCGAACAGACGAGGAGCUUGCUCCUCUGACGUUAGCGGCGGACGGGUGAGUAACACGUGGAUAACCUACCUAUAAGACUGGGAUAACUUCGGGAAACCGGAGCUAAUACCGGAUAAUAUAUUGAACCGCAUGGUUCAAUAGUGAAAGACGGUUUUGCUGUCACUUAUAGAUGGAUCCGCGCCGCAUUAGCUAGUUGGUAAGGUAACGGCUUACCAAGGCAACGAUGCGUAGCCGACCUGAGAGGGUAAUCGGCCACACUGGAACUGAGACACGGUCCAGACUCCUACGGGGGGCAGCAGUAGGGAAUCUUCCGCAAUGGGCGAAAGCCUGACGGAGCAGCGCCGCGUGGGUGGUGAAGGUCUGCGGAUCGUAAAACUCUGUUAUUAGGGAAGAACAAAUGUGUAAGUAGCUAUGCACGUCUUGACGGUACCGAAUCAGAAAGCCACGGCUAACUACGUG